Molecule: transfer RNA, 76 nt
Filed under: Bdellovibrio sp. qaytius
Lineage: Bacteria; Pseudomonadati; Bdellovibrionota; Bdellovibrionia; Bdellovibrionales; Pseudobdellovibrionaceae
Also listed under: 1 other name
Description: tRNA-Phe
Rfam family: tRNA
About the family: Transfer RNA (tRNA) molecules are approximately 80 nucleotides in length. Their secondary structure includes four short double-helical elements and three loops (D, anti-codon, and T loops). Further hydrogen bonds mediate the characteristic L-shaped molecular structure. tRNAs have two regions of fundamental functional importance: the anti-codon, which is responsible for specific mRNA codon recognition, and the 3' end, to which the tRNAs corresponding amino acid is attached (by aminoacyl-tRNA synthetases). tRNAs cope with the degeneracy of the genetic code in two manners: having more than one tRNA (with a specific anti-codon) for a particular amino acid; and 'wobble' base-pairing, i.e. permitting non-standard base-pairing at the 3rd anti-codon position.
Source: RNAcentral
GGCCAAGUAGCUCAGUCGGUAGAGCAGAUGACUGAAAAUCAUCGUGUCGGCGGUUCAAUUCCGUCCUUGGCCACCA